This 270-nucleotide ribosomal RNA is filed under the name uncultured archaeon. Its description in RNAcentral is "partial 16S ribosomal RNA". It matches the Rfam family "Archaeal small subunit ribosomal RNA", at positions 477 to 747 of the family's 1478-position model. The record is from RNAcentral.
CAGCACCUCAAGUGGUCAGGAUGAUUAUUGGGCCUAAAGCAUCCGUAGCCGGCUCAGUAAGUUUUCGGUUAAAUCUGUACGCUUAACGUACAGGCUGCCGGGAAUACUGCAGAGCUAGGGAGUGGGAGAGGUAGACGGUACUCGGUAGGAAGGGGUAAAAUCCUUUGAUCUAUUGAUGACCACCUGUGGCGAAGGCGGUCUACCAGAACACGUCCGACGGUGAGGGAUGAAAGCUGGGGGAGCAAACCGGAUUAGAUACCCGCGUAGUCC